Molecule: long non-coding RNA, 301 nt
Filed under: Olea europaea (common olive)
Lineage: Eukaryota; Viridiplantae; Streptophyta; Magnoliopsida; Lamiales; Oleaceae
Description: long non-coding RNA (OEUR_LNC002278)
Source: RNAcentral
AGAAACAAGAACUUAUGAAAGACAUCACCAGAUUAGACUUUUGGAACGUGAAUCUCCGUCUUCUACCGUGUCUUCUGCCGUCUUUUGUAUCCCUGUUCGAGUGUGUAAUUAAUUUCAACAGACAGCAAUGAAUUUUCUUCCCAAGCAGCCGCAAUUUUCCUCUGUCAAUGCCCUAUUGCAGCCCCUAAAUAUGUAUAAAAUAUAGACUGUUGGCUGUUCUCAAUUCCGUGCAUGUCUUCUCAAAUAUGUGAAAUAUGUGUGUAAAUUUUAUAAUAAUGGUUGAAUCUCUCCUCAAUUCCCG